This 148-nucleotide signal recognition particle RNA is filed under the name Pan paniscus (pygmy chimpanzee). Its description in RNAcentral is "Metazoan signal recognition particle RNA". It matches the Rfam family "Metazoan signal recognition particle RNA". From Rfam's summary of the family: The signal recognition particle (SRP) is a universally conserved ribonucleoprotein. It is involved in the co-translational targeting of proteins to membranes. The eukaryotic SRP consists of a 300-nucleotide 7S RNA and six proteins: SRPs 72, 68, 54, 19, 14, and 9. RNAcentral also lists the same sequence under 1 other name. The record is from Rfam by way of RNAcentral. Lineage: Eukaryota; Metazoa; Chordata; Mammalia; Primates; Hominidae.
GCCAGGCGUGGUGGUGGAUGCCUGUAAUUCCAGCUACUUGGGAGGCUGAGGUGGGAGAAUCGCUUGAACCCAGGAGGCAGAGGGUGCAGUGAGCCGAGAUCGUGCCACUGCACUCUAGCCUGGGCAACAGAGCGAGACUCCAUCUCAA